GAACGAGCGAGAGAGAGCUUGCUUUCUCGAGCGAGCGGCGAACGGGUGAGUAACGCGUGAGGAACCUGCCUCAAAGAGGGGGACAACAGUUGGAAACGACUGCUAAUACCGCAUAAGCCCACGGGUCGGCAUCGACCAGAGGGAAAAGGAGCAAUCCGCUUUGAGAUGGCCCCGCGUCCGAUUAGCUAGUUGGUGAGGUAACGGCCCACCAAGGCAACGAUCGGUAGCCGGACUGAGAGGUUGAACGGCCACAUUGGGACUGAGACACGGCCCAGACUCCUACGGGAGGCAGCAGUGGGGAGUAUUGUACAAUGGGGGAAACCCUGAUGCAGCGACGCCGCGUGGAGGAAGAAGGUCUUCGGAUUGUAAACUCCUGUUGUUGAGGAAGAUAAUGACGGUACUCAACAAGGAAGCGACGGCUAACUACGUGCCAGCAGCCGCGGUAAAACGUAGGUCACAAGCGUUGUCCGGAAUUACUGGGUGUAAAGGGAGCGCAGGCGGGAAGACAAGUUGGAAGUGAAAUCUAUGGGCUCAACCCAUAAACUGCUUUCAAAACUGUUUUUCUUGAGUAGUGCAGAGGUAGGCGGAAUUCCCGGUGUAGCGGUGGAAUGCGUAGAUAUCGGGAGGAACACCAGUGGCGAAGGCGGCCUACUGGGCACCAACUGACGCUGAGGCUCGAAAGUGUGGGUAGCAAACAGGAUUAGAUACCCUGGUAGUCCACACCGUAAACGAUGAUUACUAGGUGUUGGAGGAUUGACCCCUUCAGUGCCGCAGUUAACACAAUAAGUAAUCCACCUGGGGAGUACGACCGCAAGG
Molecule: ribosomal RNA, 816 nt
Filed under: uncultured organism
Description: bacterial SSU rRNA
Rfam family: Bacterial small subunit ribosomal RNA
Source: RNAcentral